AUAGCGUAUAUUAAAGUUGUUGCAGUUAAAAAGCUCGUAGUUGAACUUCAGACCUGGCCGGACGGUCUGCCUAACGGUAUGUACUGUCUGGCUGGGCCUUACCUCUUGGUGAGCCGGCAUGCCCUUCACUGGGUGUGUUGGGGAACCAGGACUUUUACCUUGAGAAAAUUAGAGUGUUCAAAGCAGGCUUAUGCUCGAAUACAUUAGCAUGGAAUAAUAAAAUAGGACGUGCGGUUCUAUUUUGUUGGUUUCUAGAGUCGCCGUAAUGAUUAAUAGGGAUAGUUGGGGGCAUUAGUAUUCAGUUGCUAGAGGUGAAAUUCUUGGAUUUACUGAAGACUAAAUACUG
RNAcentral lists this ribosomal RNA (346 nucleotides) under uncultured eukaryote. RNAcentral's name for it is "SSU rRNA". It matches the Rfam family "Eukaryotic small subunit ribosomal RNA", at positions 594 to 945 of the family's 1831-position model. The record is from RNAcentral.